UACGUAGGGUGCAAGCGUUGUCCGGAAUUAUUGGGCGUAAAGGGCUCGUAGGCGGUCUGUCACGUCGGGAGUGAAAACUCGGGGCUUAACCCCGAGCCUGCUUCCGAUACGGGCAGACUAGAGGUAUGCAGGGGAGAAUGGAAUUCCUGGUGUAGCGGUGAAAUGCGCAGAUAUCAGGAGGAACACCGGUGGCGAAGGCGGUUCUCUGGGCAUCACCUGACGCUGAGGAGCGAAAGUGUGGGGAGCGAACAGG
RNAcentral lists this ribosomal RNA (253 nucleotides) under uncultured bacterium. RNAcentral's name for it is "partial 16S ribosomal RNA". It matches the Rfam family "Bacterial small subunit ribosomal RNA", at positions 524 to 776 of the family's 1533-position model. The record is from RNAcentral.